UGAACAGGUAAGUCAUGUACGUAC
This 24-nucleotide non-coding RNA is filed under the name Arabidopsis thaliana (thale cress). The record is from RNAcentral. Lineage: Eukaryota; Viridiplantae; Streptophyta; Magnoliopsida; Brassicales; Brassicaceae.